UGGGGAAUUUUCCGCAAUGGGCGAAAGCCUGACGGAGCAAUGCCGCGUGGAGGUGGAAGGCCUACGGGUCGUCAACGUUCUUUUCUCGGAGAAGAAACAUGACGGUAUCUGGGGAAUAAGCAUCGGCUAACUCUGUCCCAG
RNAcentral lists this ribosomal RNA (141 nucleotides) under uncultured bacterium. RNAcentral describes it as "partial 16S rRNA". It matches the Rfam family "Bacterial small subunit ribosomal RNA", at positions 355 to 511 of the family's 1533-position model. The record is from RNAcentral.